RNAcentral lists this ribosomal RNA (486 nucleotides) under uncultured bacterium. RNAcentral describes it as "bacterial SSU rRNA". It matches the Rfam family "Bacterial small subunit ribosomal RNA", at positions 28 to 507 of the family's 1533-position model. The record is from RNAcentral.
GAUGAACGCUAGCUACAGGCUUAACACAUGCAAGUCGAGGGGCAGCGCAGUGUAGCAAUACAUGGGCGGCGACCGGCGCACGGGUGCGUAACGCGUAUCCAACCUUCCCGUUACUCCGGGAUAGCCUUCCGAAAGGGAGAUUAAUACCCGGAUGGUGUUUGAAGUCCGCAUGAAAUUCAAACUAAAGAUUUAUCGGUAACGGAUGGGGAUGCGUUCCAUUAGCUUGUUGGCGGGGUAACGGCCCACCAAGGCUUCGAUGGAUAGGGGUUCUGAGAGGAAGGUCCCCCACACUGGAACUGAGACACGGUCCAGACUCCUACGGGAGGCAGCAGUGAGGAAUAUUGGUCAAUGGUCGAGAGACUGAACCAGCCAUGCCGCGUGAAGGUGACGGCCCUAUGGGUCUUAAACUUCUUUUGUAAGGGAGCAAUAAGUCUUACGUGUAGGAUGAUGAGAGUACCUUACGAAUAAGCAUCGGCUAACUCCGUG